UAUCUUUAGAUGUGUUCGUAGCAUGACUGGAAAGAACACAAACACACUGAGAACUGCAGAGCGCACCGUGCGUUACGGGUGGGGAGGGGGAGGGCUCGCGCGAGGGUGUAACUCAUUCCUCUAAGAGUAACCCACGCAAACAAUGAGACCCCAAAUUUUGAGUGAUUCAGGCCGAGGGGUAUGAGGAAGCUUGAGGAAGUAAGGAGAAACGCGCUGCGAUGAGAGUUCGCAUUCUGUUUUACACGCGCGCUUCACUAAAACCAAUACAAAUACCGUGCUUUGACGAGCCGUCCGUGAAUGUGUGUGUCUUCUUUCAGCGAGCUCAACAACUUCGAGCUGCUCGUCACAUCGUGUUGUCUCGCUUACACUACAGCAUCGAACCAUCGCUCCGUAUGUCCCCCCUCCUACGCGUACAAAACCACCAGUAUAGCGCGACGCUUUGUUGGAGAUGGUUGUGCGCGUUUUGUUUUAAGUCCAGCGCGCAGUGUUUGUGCGUUAAUACGUAUUUCGUUCAAAGUCUCGUGGGCUGGUGAUUUUUGGUGAAGUGUGAAGUGAACAAACAAUGUGCACAGACACACAUGCAGUUCGUGCAUCGACAGGUAAGAAUUUGCUGAACAGAGGCAACGCAGAUUGUCGACAAAUUUCCCGCAGCCUGGCUCGACCCGGUACUUUGUAGUAUGACGCCAUUCGUGAGUAUGAUAGAUUCUGAAUGUGUUGUGAAAGUGUACUUUAUGUUUCAAUAAAUUGUUUAAUGAAAUAAAAAAUGACCGUGUUUGUGUUUGUUGUUAGAAGAAGUGCGUAUUUGCGAUCGUGGCAAUUUAUGAAAGAAAGCGCCCAAGUAGCAGAGCCGAAGUUGUUGAGAGGUUUUUCUCUGUGCCAAAGCGAGAGGCUCUGUCUUCUCUCUCUAGAUUUUGGACGGCAAACCGCCGCCCGUGUAGAGGUGUGUGCGUGUGACGAAAAAUUAUCGAUGAAAUACGGGGGAAGCGGGGUUUGAAGUCUUUCGUUCGUCACACACACAUGCAUUUACCAGCGGAUAACACUGGACCGAGUCUACCCAUCUCUCUCGAUCCACCAUGAUUUUUCUGCUAUCGCGCUCAUCCGGGUGUUAGGCAUCCUCAGUCUGUCCAGAACUGUCCCUAUGGAAGAAUGUACUGAAGUAAGGUGUGGUUUCUUGUGCGACGUUCUUUGCUCAUUUUCGUUUUGUGCCGGGUUCCUUCUUCCUCAGUUAUAGAAUGAUUUAUCCUAGCAAAUUGUUGAGGUGUGUGCGCUAUUUAUCAACGACUGCAUGCUGGCCUCGUCAACAAUCUUCGAAGUGAGCAACGGAAAGAAAACGUUUUCCAGUUUUAAAAUAUUAAGCCCCCGGUGAGGACGUCAUUACUUAACAGAAGCCGGUUCAACACGCGCAGCUCCUGUUCAUGACUAAACUGAAGUCAGCUGAACACGCGCAGCACGGAUGGUACCCCGAGCGCGGUAGGAGGAAGGAAGAACGAGAGGAGGAAGAACGGUAAAUUUGGAAGGGGGAAAGCGUUCUGCCGUCUACACAGCGAGAGUAUGCCAAAACACAUGUGGGAAGGGAGAGGAAUAUUAUUCAAUAAACAGCAUGCCCCUACAAGCAAAGAGCGGGUAAUUUUUAUCAUGGUGUGCGUAAAAACUUAGAAUCAAGCCGAUGGAAGACCCUACAAGCAAAGAGCAGGUAAUUUUUAUCAUGGUGUGCGUAAAAACCUAGAAUCAAGCCGAUGGAAGAUUUCCUAGGCUUAAAAAAGGGGAGAGAAUCGGUACCACGGUUCUCUCCCGCUCCCAUAUAAAAUACACGGUGCGCUCUCUCGGUUUCCGAGGUUCUUUUAAAAGUAUUAUCGGAAACCGAGAAAGAACCUCGGAAACCGAGAGAGCGCACCGUGUAUUUUAUAUGGGAACGGGAGAGAACCGUGGUACCGAUUCUCUCCCCUUUUUUUAAGCCUACGAAAACUUCCAUCGGCUUGAUUCUAGGUUUUUACGCACACCAUGAUAAAAAUUACCCGCUCUUUGUCCGUAGGGAAAUCUUCCAUCGGCUUGACACUAGGUUUUUACGCACACCAUGAUAAAAAUUACCCGCUCUUUGUCCGUAGGGGCGCUUAGCAAAGUCGUGCGUCCGAGCGCGAAAAAUUAUUCCUCUGUCUGGCGCGUCCACGCAAACAAUGAGACCCCAAAUUUUGAGUGAUUCAGGCCGACGGGUUUGAGGAAGCUUGAGGAGGCAAGGAGAAACGCGCGGCGAUGAGAGUUCGCAUUCUGUUUUACACGCGCGCUUCACUAACACCAAUACAAAUACCGUGCUUUGACGAGCCGUCUGUGCAUGUGUGUGUCUUCUUUCCGCGAGCUCAACAACUUCGAGCUGCUCGUCACAUCGUGUUGUCUCGCUUACACUACAGCAUCGAACCAUCGCUCCGUAUGUCCCCCCUCCUACGCGUACAAAACCACCAGUACAGCGCGACGCUUUGCCGGAGAUGGUUGUGCGCGAUUUGUUCUAAGUCCCGCGCGUAGUGUUUGUGCGUUGAUGCGCAUUUCGUUAUAAGUCUCGUGCGCCGGUGUGUUUUGGUGAAGUGUGAAGUGAAUAAACAGUGUGCACAGACGCACAUGCAGUGCGUGCAUCGACAGGUAAGAAUUUGCUGAACAGAGGCAACACAGAUUGUCGACAAGUUUCCCGCAGCCUGGCUUGACCCGGUACUUUGUAGUAUGACGCCAUUCGUGAGUAUGAAGGAUUCUAAAUGUGUUGUGAAAGUGUAAUUUAUGUUUCAAUAAAGUGUAUAAUGUAACCAAAAAUGACCGUGUUUGUGUUUGUUGUUAGAAUAAGUGCGUAUUUGCGAUCGUGGCAAUGCAUGAAAGAAAACGAGAAACGAAAGAAACAAAUAUCUUUGGAUGUGUUGGUAGCAUGAUUGGAAAGAACACAACACAUUGAGAACUACAGAGCCCACCGUGCGUUCCGGGUGGGAAGGGAGAGGGCUCGCGCGAGGGUGUAACUCAUUCCUCCAAGAGUAACUGCUAAGGGAGGGCGGUACUCAAAUCACUCAAAAAAUACACUCAUUUUGCCGGACGGGUCGCGCGAGGGUGUAACUCAUUCCUCCAAGAGUAACUGCUAACGGGGGACGGUACUCAAAUCACUCAAAAAAUACACUCAUUUUGCCGGACGGGGUGGCUUUUGUUUCGUGUGCGUUUAUGUGUGUGCCUGAGAAGAAGCGCGCAUAGCGAAGUCGUACGUCCGAGCGCGAUAACAAUUCCUCUGUCUGGCGCGUUGCCUUUGUCUCGUGUAUGUGUGUGCAGACUCGCGCGCGAGAAGUGCGCGCAGUAGUGUUUCGUUCAUGUAUGUUCGAGACAUUUCCACAAAGGUGCGCGUUCCUUGUAUUUUGCGUAUGAUCCCAGACUCGUGCGCAUGCUGUUGUUUCAUGCAUGGUGAGUGCGUAAGCGUUAGCGUGGCUUAAACAACGCUAAAAACUCAAGUAAUUCCUUGAACAAUUCCGUGAAUUUGAAUACCGUGUUCGGUGCAAGUGUGAACAAGCGUGAGCGUGGCUUUGACAACGCUUUCUGGGUAAAAGUGUAAAUAGCUUCAUCGACAGGCAUACGUACCAGGAUGGGUGGCCAGGAUCACACUCCGAAGAGAUCCCAGGAUGAAGCUAUCGACGCUAAGGUGCUGAUUCACCAGCGUGGCCAAAUCAAGCGCAGAGUUACUCUCAUCAACAACAUGCUAGAGAAAGCCAAAGAAGACCCGACGAAGGUAACUCAAACGCAGCUAAAGGGAAACUUCAAGGGAAACAUCGGCGUAAUGAACUUCAAGGGAAACAUCAUUUCGGGUGAAGAUGAC
Molecule: long non-coding RNA, 3832 nt
Organism: Anopheles coluzzii
Lineage: Eukaryota; Metazoa; Arthropoda; Insecta; Diptera; Culicidae
Exons: 3
Source: RefSeq, a predicted model, not a curated record